This 306-nucleotide unclassified non-coding RNA is filed under the name Hevea brasiliensis (rubber tree). The record is from RNAcentral. Lineage: Eukaryota; Viridiplantae; Streptophyta; Magnoliopsida; Malpighiales; Euphorbiaceae.
CUCUGUUACAUUCUAUUUGCAUAGUUUCCUUCUUCUGGGCAUUCAAUUCCUGCUCCAUAUUAGAUAACUUUGAUUGCAACUUCUGAAUAUAAUUUAAAGCCUCCGGCGACAAAUCCCCAAAAACCUGAGGACUAAUCUCUAAAUCUUGAAUACCAAUCUCACCUCCUCCACUCACGUUCUCUUCACUUUGCUCUAUUGAUUGCUCGUUCUGUUUUGAAGAAUUCAAUUUCUCCAAAUUUUCCACACAUAUAUCCAAAUUCCUCGUUAAAGAUAUUCUGUACUCAGCAUUCCACAGCGUGUAUCCUG